Molecule: ribosomal RNA, 253 nt
Filed under: uncultured bacterium
Lineage: Bacteria
Description: partial 16S ribosomal RNA
Rfam family: Bacterial small subunit ribosomal RNA
Source: RNAcentral
UACAGAGGGUGCGAGCGUUGUCCGGAAUUACUGGGCGUAAAGGGCGCGUAGGCGGCCUGAUAAGUAUGAGGUGAAAUCUCACGGCUCAACCGUGAGGCUGCCUUGUAGACUGUCAGGCUUGAGCACGGUAGAGGCAGAUGGAAUUCCCGGUGUAGCGGUGGAAUGCGUAGAUAUGUGGAGGAAUACCGAUGGCGAAGGCAGCCCCCUGGGUCGAUACUGACGCUCAUGCACGAAAGCGUGGGGAGCAAACAGG